Molecule: ribosomal RNA, 388 nt
Filed under: uncultured bacterium
Lineage: Bacteria
Description: bacterial SSU rRNA
Rfam family: Bacterial small subunit ribosomal RNA
Source: RNAcentral
GACGAACGCUGGCGGCGUGCUUAACACAUGCAAGUCGAGCGGUAAGGCCCUUUCGGGGGUACACGAGCGGCGAACGGGUGAGUAACACGUGGGUGACCUGCCCUCAGCUCUGGGAUAAGCCUGGGAAACCGGGUCUAAUACCGGAUAUGACUCCAUGACGCAUGUUGUGGGGUGGAAAGCCUUGUGCGGCUGAGGAUGGGCCCGCAGCCUAUCAGCUUGUUGGUGGGGNGAUGGCCUACCAAGGCGACGACGGGUAGCCGGCCUGAGAGGGCGACCGGCCACACUGGGACUGAGACACGGCCCAGACUCCUACGGGAGGCAGCAGUGGGGAAUCUUGCGCAAUGGGCGAAAGCCUGACGCAGCGACGCCGCGUGAGGGAUGACGGCCU